This 247-nucleotide ribosomal RNA is filed under the name Salmonella enterica subsp. enterica serovar Typhimurium. Its description in RNAcentral is "partial 23S ribosomal RNA". It matches the Rfam family "Bacterial large subunit ribosomal RNA", at positions 150 to 435 of the family's 2925-position model. Lineage: Bacteria; Pseudomonadati; Pseudomonadota; Gammaproteobacteria; Enterobacterales; Enterobacteriaceae. The record is from RNAcentral.
AUCAUUAACUGAAUCCAUAGGUUAAUGAGGCGAACCGGGGGAACUGAAACAUCUAAGUACCCCGAGGAAAAGAAAUCAACCGAGAUUCCCCCAGUAGCGGCGAGCGAACGGGGAGGAGCCCAGAGCCUGAAUCAGCAUGUGUGUUAGUGGAAGCGUCUGGAAAGGCGCGCGAUACAGGGUGACAGCCCCGUACACAAAAGCGCAUGUGCUGUGAGCUCGAUGAGUAGGGCGGGACACGUGAUAUCCU